CCUACGGGUGGCAGCAGUGAGGAAUAUUGGUCAAUGGACGAGAGCCUGAACCAGCCAAGUAGCGUGAAGGAUGACUGCCCUAUGGGUUGUAAACUUCUUUUAUAAAGGAAUAAAACGAGCCACGUGUGCCUUUUUGCAUGUACUUUAUGAAUAAGGAUCGGCUAACUCCGUGCCAGCAGCCGCGGUAAUACGGAGGACCCGAGCGUUAUCCGGAUUUAUUGGGUUUAAAGGGAGCGUAGGUGGGUUGUUAAGUCAGGUGUGAAAGUUUGCGGCUCAACCGUAAAAUUGCAAUUGAUACUGGAAGUCUUGAGUACAGAUGAGGUAGGCGGAAUUCGUGGUGUAGCGGUGAAAUGCUUAGAUAUCACGAAGAACCCCGAUUGCGAAGGCAGCUUACUAAACUGCGACUGACAUUGAGGCUCGAAAGUGUGGGUAUCAAACAGGAUUAGAUACCCGAGUAGUC
Molecule: ribosomal RNA, 460 nt
Filed under: uncultured bacterium
Lineage: Bacteria
Description: partial 16S ribosomal RNA
Rfam family: Bacterial small subunit ribosomal RNA
Source: RNAcentral